Molecule: long non-coding RNA, 695 nt
Filed under: Parus major (Great Tit)
Lineage: Eukaryota; Metazoa; Chordata; Aves; Passeriformes; Paridae
Description: lncRNA (ENSPMJG00000009708.1)
Source: RNAcentral
GAUUUCAAAAUGAAUUUGCUAAGUAUCUGUUUCAGGAAUACAUGUGUCCAAAAUAAAGAGACUGCUUGGACUGAAGGAAAAGCUGCAGAAUGAAUUCAAGCAGUAUUAGAGGAAGAAAAAAAAUCACAUAGAGGAAGUCUUUAUAGACAUUUUAGUGUGACAAAAACUUCACAGUUUGCAAUCAACUACAAACCACAAAUUGCAGGAGGCUGGACUUCAGUCAGGGAACUACCUCUGUAAAGACUUUGCAGACUGUGGGGACCAAGUCCAGCUGAGUUACCUGGAAAACUGAACCCUCUCAGCUGAUCCUGUUUCUAUCAUUACACAGAUUUUUCCUGAGCUGUGGUGCUGCCAUCACAACUUUUGAGACAGUGAUACUGGCCUGCCCAGUGAGAACAACCACAGGAAUGGUGAGCACUCUGCUGGUCUCUGACUGUUUGCAGCUCAAGACAGUGGAAGGUUCUGGGAAGCCCAUGUUGCCAGAAGAUGUCCUUGUCAUACCCUGUGAGUAACCCUCAGAGGCACAGUGAUUCACAGCUACCCCUCUGAGUCAUAGGUCAGCAGAGUGACUUUCAUUACAUCUCAUGCAGCUUCUAGCUGGAGUGGCAUCAAGGUCAAAAAUUAUGCAGAUCUGAAAACUAAUGGAAACACAUCUGAAGUUACAGUACUUAGAAAUAAAAACUUUGGAAAUGACA